RNAcentral lists this long non-coding RNA (3748 nucleotides) under Capra hircus (goat). Its description in RNAcentral is "lncRNA (ENSCHIG00010014948.1)". The record is from RNAcentral. Lineage: Eukaryota; Metazoa; Chordata; Mammalia; Artiodactyla; Bovidae.
UAACCUCCAAUUAAAAUAAAUAAAUUUAUAUUAAAAAAUAAAUAGAUAACUGACAUAAGCAGUGAAACUGGGUGCUUCCAUCUCAAAUCCUCUUAUAGAUUGUAGUUGGGAUGUUUGCCAAGGCUGAGGUUUCCAUUUGAAGGGUUGAUGGGAAAGGACCUGUUUCUAAACUCAUUUCUUGCAGCUGUUGGCAAGAAUUCAGUUCUUUGCUGGUGAUUGGACAGAGACUUCUUUCACUGUCUUAUCAAUGGGCCUCUCUAUAAGGCAGCUUGAGACAUGGCAGCUAGCUGUCCUCCCUUAGAGCAAGUAAGAGAGAAUAAAAAUAGGGUACCCAAAAUGAAAGCCAUAAUCUUUCUGUAAUGUACUGNNNNNNNNNNNNNNNNNNNNNNNNNNNNNNNNNNNNNNNNNNNNNNNNNNNNNNNNNNNNNNNNNNNNNNNNNNNNNNNNNNNNNNNNNNNNNNNNNNNNNNNNNNNAGGAAGUGGGCAUUGUCGGGGGUCAUUCCCCACACUGGGCAUACCACACUGGGUUAUAGCUCCAGUGGGCUGGGUUGAUGAUUUUCAGCAUUAUACUCUCUGCCUCUCUUGAUCUAGUUGUGGAUUCCAGUCACAGAGGUAGAUCCCAAGCAUUGGGCAUGCCCUAUAAUCAAAGCACUCCUCUCCAGGAUAUUCACAGAAGGGUGGAUAGGCUGCAGGCUGCUCCCUAGUCACUCCCAUAUUACAGCUGUUUCUACUCCCCAAUCAUAGUUAUACCUCAGGUCACUGUUUAAUCAGCUGAACUCAGACUCUGUCCCUUCACUCUUCAAAGUACCACCAACUCAAGACUUUAUUAACAGACAGUUUUACUGAUGGCUCCAGGGUAACUGAGAUUAUGUACUGCCUCUCAGCAGAUGUCUUCAAAAUUGAACAUUAGCCAGUUCUGUGUCCUUAAAAUUAUUUCAGUCCCCUAAGCGCUGGCAACUUCUCAGAGGUCACCUUUCACAGAGGUUCCACUUGGGACUUUGUUCCUCACUCUUCAGGGACAGCACACAGAGCCGGUUGGGCUCUGCACAAGAGUGCUUGGCUAACUGGGUGAGUAAAGGACUGCCCUUCAGCUCAUAUUCUGCUCCACACUCAGGCACGCGUCUUACAGCAGGGCUUCACCUGCCUGAUGCUGCACAAAGUGCCAUCUGGGGUAGUUGAAGCUCUCUGCCCUUUUACACUGCUUUCCAGGCCACCUUCUCUGACGUCUAAGCUAUUCUUGGAAACUCCUGUGACAAGAAAGAAAAAAAAAUGAUGAAAAGCCUACUAUUAUUCACAAUUUACAAAUUCUAAGAAAAGUGAAUCCUAGAAGUUAAAGAACUGUUUUUUUCUGCUGAACACAUAAUUUCUAAUGCAAUGGUCUUUCACAGACUUGAUGAAAGAGUUCAGUGGAGAGUGUGAAGAUGAAAAAUUAGAAAAACUUGGGAAAAGCUAAAUUCCUUUGUUUAAGAAAAGGGAAUUAAAAAUAUUGGUGGAUAUAAAAAUACUGGCAACCCACUCCAGCAUUCUCGCCUGGAAAAGUCUGUGAACAGAGGAGCCUGGAGGGCUACAGUCCAUGGAGUUGCAAAGAGUAGGACGUAACUGAGCACAAACAAACAAGGGCCCACCCUAAAUCCAGAGUGAUCUCAUCUCAAAAUCCACAAUUUACAGGUGCAAAGAUUGUUUUUCCAAAUAAGGUCACCUUUGCAGAUUCUGGGGGUUACAACUCGGGUAUACCUUUGUGGGCUACUAUUAAACCUGCUGUAAUCUGGUAACAACCAAAAAAAAAGGAGUUGGGAAGAGUCUGGAACCAGGAGCUAGAGGCUGCCUAGAGACUGAGAAGAGCUACUUUGCAGAUAAAAGAUAUAUCUGAUGGGCUUUUCUUUUUUUGGAAUGCAACGGCGUUCCCCUGAGACUUAAAACAUACUUUCACCUUCCUAAAGUUUACAUUACUCACAAUUUCCUAGUGGUAUGUGUUCGCUUGGAUAGGAGACAGGGAUAGAAGUGACACUAUACACAUGUUUGGGUUAAAAACUCUAAAUUUCUUACUCUAUUUCACAGAACACUUUAGUUCUCACAUUUCUUCAAAUUCUUGAGCAUACCCUAAGGCCUAUAUUUCCAUAGCCCCAUCAGAAAGGUUUGUGCUAAACCAAAGGCAGUAUGUCCUAUUCCUAUAAGAAGAGGCUGUCAUCAGUGACUAUUUAAAUAACAAUUGUUCUUCUCUAUCAAAUAAACUUGAAACUCCCCACCAAAUUACUAAUGUGCAUCAGGUGAAGUAACUUUGGUUGAAUCUCUGGAAUUUUCACACAUAUCAUAUCAUCAAAUAAUCUAAGAAAACUAGUAUUAUUCUCCCAUUUUACAUAUGAGGAAGUAACAGCUAGGGAGGUUUAAUAACUUCUAGAAGGUAAUAAAGUAAGAAAUAGAAAAAAACAGAAAUCAGAUCUCUGACCCUAGAACUCCACUUUUUUCCCUUCAGCAUAUAUCUCCACAUAAAUAGUUUGGUCUCAGGUGAAGCAUUAGCAAAGAGCUAUCAAUACAGAGUAUAUAGAAAAUGCUUGAAUUCCUCAGACCAAAAAAUAAUGAGCUUGCUUGUGUUCUGCAUCCCUAUUUUAUGAGCUCCAAGAUAGAUUGAAAGCUUAGGGGCAUAUUGUCCUAAGGAAGAAGAUUCACAGGCAUUCAGAAUAACCAAAUAUUUAACAUACCCAAACCUGUGCCCAUAGCAUGAUUUGCAUCCAGUAUGAUAAUUUACAUGGAACAGAAUUUUUUAAUUUAAGAGUUUCGGCUGAGGCUCUAAGUUAGAAUAGAUAGUUAAAUACCAAAGAGGUUUUUGAGGAAAAAAAAAAAAAAAACUGCAUCAUACUUUCAAGACAUUAUCCAAAGACCAGAUCAAAGUCUGGUUUGUACCAAUAGGGAGAUAUAAAAUACUUGAAAAAGUACAGCUGGGGAGAGGACUCUAUAAGAAAGAUGAGGAUGCCGUAUCAGGGGCUCUAACCCUUCAGAUCACUAAAAAGAAAGGAUGAAGAGGUUUCUGCUCCUUCACCUCAAGCUUACAGCAAAGAGUGCUUCCAUGAGAUCACCAUGAGAGAUGGAGAUCUGACUUUUGGCAGCUUAGGACACAGAGUUUGGCCUCUCCCUAGCAACACUAGGAGAGCUGCCUUGGUAUCAAAGCAAAGAUAGACUUUUGCUGCCUAUGAAAGGUAUCUGCAUUUGCAUUCAAAUCAUACGUGAGUAUUGAAUGUACACCAGAUGGUCUCACAGGAGUCAGCUGAUAGCCUGCCUAAGUCAACUACCUGGAAGGGUCAUUGGGAUCCAAUAGAAAGACACUAACAUAUCUCAUGAGUCAUGCUAGUUCAUACCCCAGUUACAAAUGAAACAAAAGUUUGAAGAGGUCCAAUCAGAGUUUUGUCUUCAAAAAAAAAAGAAAGCUUUUCUUGGUUUAGAACACUUCAGCCACAAAAAUUACUUUGAAAAUGAUUAGACUUCAUAGCUGACUUUACCUCACAAAUUACCCAUAUGUUCCAGCUCAUGUUACAAUUUCUUUGGGGAGCAUUAAAAUGAUUUUUCAAUUUUCUCACUCAAUUUCUUCUAUCUCUGCUGAAAAUAAGAGAUGAUAUCAUAUGAUAAGAGCAAAUCACUUUAAAUUAGACCUACUUGACUUUUGUCUUGCAGUCAAUCAAAUGCUGAUCAAAUGUGUUUUUUCCCCAUAGAAAAACAAACUGUAGAGAAUUAAUAAAGAAGCACUUCUUAUAUU